Molecule: ribosomal RNA, 497 nt
Filed under: uncultured bacterium
Lineage: Bacteria
Description: partial 16S ribosomal RNA
Rfam family: Bacterial small subunit ribosomal RNA
Source: RNAcentral
GAUGAACGCUGGCGGCGUGCCUAAUACAUGCAAGUCGAGCGAACGGACGAGAAGCUUGCUUCUCUGAUGUUAGCGGCGGACGGGUGAGUAACACGUGGAUAACCUACCUAUAAGACUGGGAUAACUUCGGGAAACCGUAGCUAAUACCGGAUAAUAUUUUGAACCGCAUGGUUCAAAAGUGAAAGACGGUCUUGCUGUCACUUAUAGAUGGAUCCGCGCUGCAUUAGCUAGUUGGUAAGGUAACGGCUUACCAAGGCAACGAUGCAUAGCCGACCUGAGAGGGUGAUCGGCCACACUGGAACUGAGACACGGUCCAGACUCCUACGGGAGGCAGCAGUAGGGAAUCUUCCGCAAUGGGCGAAAGCCUGACGGAGCAACGCCGCGUGAGUGAUGAAGGUCUUCGGAGCGUAAAACUCUGUUAUUAGGGAAGAACAGAUGUGUAAGUAACUGUGCACAUCUUGACGGUACCUAAUCAGAAAGCCACGGCUAACUACGUG